This 292-nucleotide ribosomal RNA is filed under the name uncultured bacterium. RNAcentral describes it as "partial 16S ribosomal RNA". It matches the Rfam family "Bacterial small subunit ribosomal RNA", at positions 505 to 796 of the family's 1533-position model. The record is from RNAcentral.
GUGUCAGCCGCCGCGGUAAUACGUAGGGUCCAAGCGUUAAUCGGAAUUACUGGGCGUAAAGCGUGAGUAGGCGGUUUCGCAAGUCCGAUGUGAAAUCCCCGGGCUUAACCUGGGAACUGCGUUGGAAACUACGAAGCUAGAGUGCGGCAGAGGGGGGUGGAAUUCCAGGUGUAGCAGUGAAAUGCGUAGAGAUCUGGAGGAACACCGAUGGCGAAGGCAGCCCCCUGGGUUAGCACUGACGCUCAUACACGAAAGCGUGGGGAGCAAACAGGAUUAGAAACCCUCGUAGUCC